Molecule: unclassified non-coding RNA, 279 nt
Filed under: uncultured fungus
Lineage: Eukaryota; Fungi
Description: partial contains small subunit ribosomal RNA, internal transcribed spacer 1, and 5.8S ribosomal RNA
Rfam family: Eukaryotic small subunit ribosomal RNA (bases 1-73)
Source: RNAcentral
ACAAACUUGGUCAUUUAGAGGAAGUAAAAGUCGUAACAAGGUCUCCGUAGGUGAACCUGCGGAGGGAUCAUUACUGAGCGAGGGCCCCCGGCCCGACCUCCAACCCUUUGUUAAUCAAACCACUGUUGCCUCGGGGGUGACCCGAGUCUCCGGACUUUCGGGGCCCCCGGUGGACAUCCCAUCAAAACACCGCAUCUAUACGUCGGAAUAUUGAAAUCAAAUUGAUUGAAAACUUUCAACAACGGAUCUCUUGGUUCUGGCAUCGAUGAAGAACGCAGC